This 553-nucleotide ribosomal RNA is filed under the name uncultured bacterium. RNAcentral's name for it is "partial 16S ribosomal RNA". It matches the Rfam family "Bacterial small subunit ribosomal RNA", at positions 355 to 914 of the family's 1533-position model. The record is from RNAcentral.
UGGGGAAUAUUGCACAAUGGGCGAAAGCCUGAUGCAGCGACGCCGCGUGCGGGAUGAAGGCCUUCGGGUUGUAAACCGCUUUUGAUUGGGAGCAAGCGAGAGUGAGUGUACCUUUCGAAUAAGCACCGGCUAACUACGUGCCAGCAGCCGCGGUAAUACGUAGGGUGCAAGCGUUAUCCGGAAUUAUUGGGCGUAAAGAGCUCGUAGGCGGUUUGUCGCGUCUGGUGUGAAAGUCCAUCGCUUAACGGUGGAUCUGCGCCGGGUACGGGCAGGCUAGAGUGCGACAGGGGAGACUGGAAUUCCCGGUGUAACGGUGGAAUGUGUAGAUAUCGGGAAGAACACCAAUGGCGAAGGCAGGUCUCUGGGUCGUCACUGACGCUGAGGAGCGAAAGCGUGGGGAGCGAACAGGAUUAGAUACCCUGGUAGUCCACGCCGUAAACGGUGGAUGCUGGAUGUGGGGCCCCAUUCCACGGGUUCCGUGUCGGAGCUAACGCGUUAAGCAUCCCGCCUGGGGAGUACGGCCGCAAGGCUAAAAACUCUAAAGUGAAUUGAC